This 377-nucleotide ribosomal RNA is filed under the name Gammaproteobacteria bacterium. RNAcentral's name for it is "bacterial SSU rRNA". It matches the Rfam family "Bacterial small subunit ribosomal RNA", at positions 1 to 376 of the family's 1533-position model. The record is from RNAcentral. Lineage: Bacteria; Pseudomonadati; Pseudomonadota; Gammaproteobacteria.
GAACUGAAGAGUUUGAUCCUGGCUCAGAUUGAACGCUGGUGGCAUGCUUAACACAUGCAAGUCGAACGGUAACAGGCAGAGCUUGCUCUGUGCUGACGAGUGGCGGACGGGUGAGUAAUGCAUAGGAAUCUGCCCAGUAGCGGGGGACAACUUGGGGAAACUCAAGCUAAUACCGCAUACGCCCUACGGGGGAAAGCAGGGGAUCUUCGGACCUUGCACUAUUGGAUGAGCCUAUGUCUGAUUAGCUUGUUGGUGAGGUAAAAGCUCACCAAGGCGACGAUCAGUAGCUGGUCUGAGAGGACGAUCAGCCACACUGGGACUGAGACACGGCCCAGACUCCUACGGGAGGCAGCAGUGGGGAAUAUUGGACAAUGGGC